ACCACCAAAAUCAUGCCAAGAAGACACUCUUCAUAUGUCUUACAACCUAGGAUUUGAUUUUGGACUUCAACAUGUGGAAAGACCAAAUCCUAGGGAACACUAGCAACACUUGCUAAUUCUCUCACCACCCUUCUUACAACUUUUGCCUCUCAAUUUUUCUUUGCCUUUUUCUUAGAUUUUUUUUAUAAUUUUUUCUCUAAUUUACAUGCCACUUACCUCUAGUUUCCACCCA
Molecule: long non-coding RNA, 232 nt
Filed under: Elaeis guineensis (African oil palm)
Lineage: Eukaryota; Viridiplantae; Streptophyta; Magnoliopsida; Arecales; Arecaceae
Description: long non-coding RNA (EGUI_LNC060969)
Source: RNAcentral